RNAcentral lists this unclassified non-coding RNA (371 nucleotides) under uncultured bacterium. Its description in RNAcentral is "contains 16S-23S intergenic spacer region". The record is from RNAcentral.
UCCGGUUUGUCACCGGCAGUCUCAUUAGAGUGCCCUUGCGUAGCAACUAAUGAUAAGGGUUGCGCUCGUUGCGGGACUUAACCCAACAUCUCACGACACGAGCUGACGACAGCCAUGCACCACCUGUGAAGAUCCAGCCGAACUGACUCCGUGUUUCCACGGAUACGAUCCACAUGUCAAGCCCAGGUAAGGUUCUUCGCGUUGCGUCGAAUUAAACCACAUGCUCCGCUGCUUGUGCGGGCCCCCGUCAAUUCCUUUGAGUUUCAGCCUUGCGGCCGUACUCCCCAGGCGGGGCACUUAUCGCAUUCGUUUCGACAGUGACGGCAUCGGACCUCCACUGCCUAGUGCCCAUCGUUUACAGCUAGGACUAC